AAUGAACGCUGGCGGCGUGCUUUACACAUGCAAGUCGAGCGAGGCGGGUAGCAAUACCCAGUCGAGCGGCGAACGGGUGAGUAAUGCAUCGGAACAUGUCCAUGUCGUGGGGGAUAGCCCGGCGAAAGCCGGAUUAAUACCGCAUACGCCCGAGAGGGGAAGGUAGGGGACCGCAAGGCCUCACGCGAUUGGGUUGGCCGAUGUCCGAUUAGCUAGUUGGCGGGGUAAUGGCCCACCAAGGCGAUGAUCGGUAGCUGGUCUGAGAGGAUGAUCAGCCACACUGGGACUGAGACACGGCCCAGACUCCUACGGGAGGCAGCAGUGGGGAAUUUUGGACAAUGGGGGCAACCCUGAUCCAGCCAUUCCGCGUGAGUGAAGAAGGCCUCGGUUGUAAG
RNAcentral lists this ribosomal RNA (395 nucleotides) under uncultured bacterium. RNAcentral's name for it is "bacterial SSU rRNA". It matches the Rfam family "Bacterial small subunit ribosomal RNA", at positions 29 to 429 of the family's 1533-position model. The record is from RNAcentral.